AUCCAGCUGACGCGUCUCAAAUAGGACGAAACGAGAGUCCUGGAC
Molecule: non-coding RNA, 45 nt
Organism: Schistosoma haematobium
Lineage: Eukaryota; Metazoa; Platyhelminthes; Trematoda; Strigeidida; Schistosomatidae
Source: Rfam